This 13251-nucleotide long non-coding RNA is filed under the name Daucus carota (carrot). Its description in RNAcentral is "long non-coding RNA (DCAR_LNC002361)". The record is from RNAcentral. Lineage: Eukaryota; Viridiplantae; Streptophyta; Magnoliopsida; Apiales; Apiaceae.
UGCACCCAUACACCUUUCGGAAUGAAAAUCAGUUUUUACAUUAUAACUACAGUCAAGACCCGUAUCUCGAAUAUGAUUACUGGAUAAACGAAGUGGGAGUUGAUGGACUCUUUACCGACUUCACUGGUAGUCUCCACAGAUACCAAGAAUGGACCUCUCCUUCCAUCUCUGAUGAUGAUGCAUCUACCUUAUUGCAUAAGAUUGCAUCAAUGGUCUCAAAGUAUCAUAAGACAUAAGAUAUUCAAUAGACAAUUAUACUCAGUUUCUAGCGCAACCACAAACUAUGCGCAUUCAUUUAUCUUUUUUGGUAAUUAUUAAAAGCUACUCUUUCUUAUUUAAUUCUAUACAUUUCUUUUCAACUGCUCAACAUGGAUUUCAAUGCUCCUAUAAAAUAUUAAGAAAAUUUUAAAAAUAAAUUACACUUUACAGGAGCAUUAAAGUCCGUGUCAUGUCCCCAUCCCGAUGUAUACUGAGAUGUAUACUGAGGGAGUAGAAGUUAGAGUUUCUACUCUACUAGUCUACUGUCGUUUUCAAUGGACCUUUGUACCUCAAGGGUUUUUGGGUAAUAUAGUACUUAUUAAACCAAUGAGUGAUAAAGUGAUUAGGAUUGAAUAUACAAUAAAUCUUGGGCUACAUCCUUAUGCACUACUAAAACACUACCCCUUUUUUAGGAGUAGUCCAUUUUUUAUUACUUUUCUAAUUUAAUUAAGAAAAAAAAUCAGAAUCCUGUAUAUUCCCUCUUGUAUCCCAUCACAGCUUCCAUCCACCGCUCCACUCUUCUUCCGCGAUCAGGUAUUUCAUCAGUUACUACCAUUCCUUUCAAUCAGUAAUACAAUUACAUAUACAUAGAAUAUACAUACACAAAUUUCAUAAUUUUUAUUAAUCAUUAGUCAUAUAUUAUACACAGAUUAAUGGAUCCCCAGUUUGAAAACCAGUCCAUGGAACUAGAGGAGAACGAGGAAGAAGAUACAGAGCAGUUAAAGGCCCAAGAGGAAAAUAAUGAAGAGGAAACAAGUAAAAAACUCUCACCCCCUGAGGUAAACACAAUUUUUGAUUCUGAAACUGAGGUGUAUGAAUACUAUAGACAAUAUGGUAUACAAAAUGGAUUUGGGAUUAUGAUAAGAAAUACUAGAAAAAUCGAAGGAGUUAAUACAUAUAUGACUGUUGCAUGUCACCGAUAUGGUGAGCCAAAUCAAAAGGCACCGGAUAGCUUAAAGCCAAAACCUGUUGUGAAAACAAAUUGUAAAGCUAGACUUUGUGCAAAAAGAAUGGAUGAGGAUGAUAAAUGGCGUGUGACUCAAUUUGAUAAUGAACACAAUCACAAUUUGAGUCCAAGCAAGGCAUAUAGAUUUCGUUGUAACAGAAAAUUAACAAAUCAUGCAAAGAGAAGUCUUAAUUUGUUUGAUGAAGCUGGUAUUCCCAUGAACAAGAGUUACAAUGCUCUUGUGGUUGAACAUGGAGGUCAUGAAAAUAUGACUUUUAGCAAAAAAGAUUGUGAAAAUUAUAUGAGGACAAUAAGAAGGUUGAGGUUGGCUGAGGGUGAUGCAGUUGCUCUCCAAAAUUAUUUUAAUAAAGCCCAAUCAAUAGAUUCCAAGUUUUAUUAUUCAAUGGAUCUUGAUGAUGAAAAUAGGAUAAAAAAUCUAUUUUGGGCUGAUGCACGAUGUAGAGCGGCAUAUAAAGAGUUCGGAGAUGUAGUAACUUUUGAUACUACAUACCUGACUAACAAAUAUGAUAUGCCGUUCGCGCCUUUUGUAGGAGUUAAUCAUCAUGGCCAGUCAAUUUUACUUGGUUGUGGUUUAAUUUCAAAUGAAGACACACCAACAUUUAUAUGGUUGUUUGAAACUUGGCUCACUUGUAUGUCUGGUUAUCCUCCUAAUGCUAUAAUAACAGAUCAAGAUAGAGCAAUGCAAAAUGCAAUUGAGAAAGUGUUUCCUAAUGCACGCCACCGGUGGUGUUUAUGGCACAUAAUGAAAAAAAUUCCUGAAAAGUUAAAAGGGUACAAAGAGUAUGAUUCAAUAAAGUUUGAACUACAGAAUAUUGUUUAUGAUUCCAUUGAGGUUGAUACUUUUGAAUUAGGAUGGAGUUCUAUGAUUUCAAAUUAUAAUUUGAAAGAUAAUGACUGGCUCAAUAGGUUGUAUGAUGGAAGACAUAAAUGGGUCCCUUGUUUUGUGAAAGAUUGUUUUUGGGCAGGAAUGUCAACUACACAAAGAAGUGAAAGUAUGAAUGCUUUUUUUGAUGGAUAUGUCAAUGCUAAAACAUCCUUAAGGGAAUUUGUGGGAAAAUAUGAUAAUGCUUUGAAAGAUAAGGUGGAAAAAGAAGUUCACGCCGAUACUCGCUCAUUGAGUACUACUAUCCCUUGUGUCACACCUCAUGUUAUAGAGAAGCAAUUUCAGGAGAAUUAUACUAAUGAUAAGUUUAAAGAGUUUCAAAAAGAGAUGAUAAAUCUCAUGUAUUGUGAAUGCAUGAUGUUAGAUUCUGAUGAGGUCAUCUUUAAUUAUCAAGUGGAGGAGAUACAAUAUGUGGGUGAUUCUCAAAUGCGGAGAACUAUUAAAUACAAUGUUUGCUUCAUUAAAGAGGUUGGAGAUGAAUAUGAUGUCAAAUGUGGAUGCCGUCUUUUUGAGUUUCGUGGAAUAAUUUGUAGGCAUAUUAUCAAGGUGCUUCUUUUUAAGCAAAAUGUUUUUACAAUGUCAAGUAAAUACAUUUUAAGAAGAUGGAGGAAGAAUGUAAAAAGAAUUCAUAGUCGAACUAAAGUGACAUAUAGUACAUGGAAAGAUUCUGAAGAGAAGCGUAUGUAUGAUAUGGUUUGUGAUGCUUUUUAUAGAAUUGUUGACUUGGCGACUCAAAAGAUAGAGAGGUGCAACAGCUUGGUUGAUACAUUCAAAAAAUUGGAGUUGGAAUGGGAUAAUAAUGAUGAAUGUAUUUCAAAGAAAAUAUCUGUAGAUAAGCAGACUAGUAAGAGUGAAGGUAAAAAGUCAAAAAAUUCUGAUUCGAGUUUAAGUAUUCAUUCACCGAUUAAGAAAAGGUGCAAAGGUCGUCCACCAACUAGGAGAAAGCAGUCAAAGGUUGAUACAGUUGUUAAGUGUCUGAAGAAAAAGGUAAGAUACUAUCAUGCUUUAAUUUUCUAAAUAUGUAUUCUUCUGUUAUAAAUUGAUUUCUGCUUAUUAUAAAUAUUUGUGUUUUGUAGUCCAAAAAGGGUGGGAAAAAGAAUUGCAUACAGUCGGAUCUGAAUGAUUUAAGUGAAGAGCUUUUAACUUUUUUGCCAGAGGAUGGUUUGUUCUCUACUAUAUCGUUAAUAUGGAAUUGUUGUAUUUGUUUCACCAGGUGUUAAAUGUUGGGAGAACUAACCUCUGUAAUUUGAAUUCCUGAUCUGCAUUAUAUAUUUACUAGGGCCAAAUCACUUGACAAAUUUGAGGCAGCAGACACCUGAUGAUGCUAGUGGUAAUGGCAAUAUAGCUUUAAUCCAAGAAGUCAAUGAUAAUAAUGUUUUGAAAGUUGUUGCCGGACUGACUUUUGAAUCUGCAGUAGAUAGCAGAACAACAAGACCACUUGUCUCCGCACUAUCUGGUAGUAUCUAGCUUAAUUUCAAGCAGGUUUCUUCAAGUUUCUUGAGUUUAACUUAAACUUUCCUCUCUGUGCAGUACCAGAGGAGGCUACAAAUAUCACAUCCACCACCAACACCAGUUAGGUGUGGCGUCUUGUUCGAGGCAGUAGUUAUUUUAGGCAGUAGUUGAGAACUUGAAUUUCAUAGUAGAUAUUAGUCUAUUGCAUAUCAGAGCAAACAUUAGUUGUUUUAGUUAAUUGAUUCUCACAAGUGUUAUUCAAAACCAGGAGUUGGUAUGUACCUUAAUUAGUGAUUGUCCAAGAGAUGAUAUUGAUAGUUGUUGCACAUCAGAUGCCUUAUCAUUUAUCAGAUGCUGAUAUGCUUUAGCCCUCUCAACUUCUUUCUUUUUGUUCAUAAUGGAGGCUGUGUUUUUAUAAUUCUUGUUCCCUUUAACUCAUCAUACUUGGUACUAUCUUGCUUGAUCAUUGAAUAUGCCAUUUCCGAUUGCUUAUUGGAUUACAAUAUCAUAUGGUGAUUUCGUCGAAGUUUUUAUGUUAGUAAUGCUGUCUGGGGACUUGUCCAUAAAGAUGGUGAAGAUUUUGGCUAGUUGGUGGUGCAAUUCUUUAAAGCUUUAAUAUGGUUUUGCCUUGAUACUGUCUUUGCUUGUGAAGGGGAAAAAAAGUCUACAGGUUUUGGCUUCAAUUUGGUGGAUUUUGUUCUUAAUUUCUUGCAAUUACAGCUAUGAACACAAGCAUUUUUCAUCCUGGAAGCAAGAGCAGGGCCAGUGAAAUUCUUUCUUCUCAUAUGUGCUUUCAGAAGUACCACUUCUUUUAUUUUCCCAAAUAUAAAAACAAACUAACCCCUAAAAAAAUAGAGUAACAAUAGUAGUUAGCAAUAACAAUUUGAAUUUUUUUUUUUAAAAUGAUGAAUACAAAAUUUAUGGUUAUAUAGUAAUAAUAUACAAAGAAAUACAAAAAUAGUAAUAAAAGAAAUUUUUCUAACUAGAGAAAUUUUAUGUUAAAAUUAUAUUUAAUUAAGAAUAAUAUUUAAAAAGAUGUAAUACAUAACAAUUACAGAGAAAUUAAAUUUAUGUUGAAUCAUAAAUUAAUAUUAUGAGAAAAAAUGAAAAAUCAAACUUUAGGAAAAUGAAACAAAAAUUUAAUAGUUGGUAUUAUUUAAUUGAAUAAAUUUCAAUAAAUUUAUUUAGUAUAAGUUUUUACAAUAAAUCUAUAUUUGAAUAUUUCAAUAAAUUUAUAUUUGAAUAAAUUUUAAAUAAAUGAAUAUUAAAAGUACGUUUAAAACUGAUCCAUUUUUCAAUUUUAAGGACUUAGAAAAAAAAAAUUGAAGUCUAAGCAACGUUUUACACAACCAGCAGAAUAGUACUGUUGGGCCACGUCAACUCCUAAAAAAGGGGUAGUGUUUUAGUAGUGCAUAAGGAUGUAACCCAAGAUUUAUUGUUGAAUAUAUAGUUAGUUGAGAUACCUCAAGGGUUUUUGAAUUUUAAAAUAUUUUUUUCUUAUAAUAUAUAUAAUUAUUUAAAGAAUUAAAAAAAUAUUUUUUUUAAAAAUUAUAAAUUUUAAUAUUAUUACAACAUAAUUUUAUUUUGAAAUAAUUUAAUAUUAUAAUUAAAUAUUUAAAUAUAUCCGAUUUUAAAUAUCCACUUGAUGGUUUGAGCGAACGAUUUGCGCUUUGUAAACUUAUUUGUUCGCGUUCAUGCUAUCACAACAAGAUGUUACCGAGGCUAAAGAUGGAGCAGGGCGUUAGAGCAAAUAAUAUAAAAUAAUUAGUGCUAGUAUGUCUUAAAGAUUUAGGUAAUCAAUUUUUAGUGUCAACUCCAAUAGUAAUCUCUAUAUUUCUCCUAAGAUUAUUUUAAUAAUAAAUUUGAGAGAGAAGGGGAAAAGGAGAGAAUAGACAAAGAAAGAAGAAGAUGGAUGAUUAUUUUAUUCAUAAAUAUUAAAUAGGUAAUGACUAAGGGUUACUUAUAAAUAGGUAAUGGCUAGGAGAAUUAAGGUUGUGCUAGUGAUUUAGGGUAACACUAGGAUAGUGUUGGAGUGCAUUUUUUUGACACAUUACCUAAAUAUGAGUUUAGGACAUCAUAUAGCUAAUCUAUUGGACUUGCUCUUAUGACUUUAAGUGCAUUUACGUAUGUAUAUAGCAUUCCCAUUCAACAAAAUAACCAAAAGCUACGCUUUAUUCAAAAAAAAAAAAAAAACCAAAAGCUACGCUAUGCUCAUAUUCCUUCCUUCAACUUGAUCUUGCCAUUUUCCUUUCUUCAACUUGAUCUUGCCCUUUUUUCCUAGUUGGGAAAUGGGAAUGCUCCCAAAACAUCAUAAAUUAAAAUUUUGUAAAAUCUACCACUAUAGCACAUAAUUUUCUUUUUUGAAGUAAAUUAUAACACAUAAUUAAUUUUAGAUCAUAUGAUUAUGGGGUGCUAAAUAUCUUUGCAUUAGGCAUGUAAUGAUUAUACAUUUAAUAUACUUCUCAUGAUUAAAUUUGUAUCAUAUAGCAUACCAAUUUCAACACAGCACCCCCACUGAUUUUAGAAUAAUAUAUAUAGUAUACUGAAUAAUAUUUAUAUAUGUAUUUUUAUCUAUGUAAAAUUAUCGUUGAAAAUGUAAAUAAAUUAUAACGGUGUUAAGGGCGAUCGGAUAGUUAGAGCAUCUCCAAUCAUGAAAAACCCUCAGCUAAAAACUGAGUUGGCAUACCAAAAACAAUAAUAAAAAAAAAGUCAAUAUCUUUGAAAAAUGACACUUCAAUCAUAUCAACCCCUUGUUUAUAAUUAUAAGAAAAUUCUAAGUAACCAAAAACUGUUCACAAACGUUUUUCUUAGAUCCAAUUAGUAAUGUAUGAUUGGUUUCCCUCACACUAAUAAUAAUUGGACCCCUGUAUGCAUAUCAAUCACUCAAUUAAAAAUAGUCAUAUGUCUGCCAAGUCAUUUGGGAAAAAGUUUUGGGAACAAAUUUUGGGUGACAUUGCAUUUCCCUAAUUAUAACCAACCUCCUAGUUAUAUUUGUCGAUCCACUACAGGUGUGUAAGAAAUCUUUCGGAAGAUUACACAUUACUUAUUACCAUAUUAAAGUGAUAUAUUCUAUUUAUAACAAUUUAAAAUAUUAAUAACAUACUAUUUUUAAAUUAUAACCAGCCAAUAUCAUCAAAUCAAAAUGUCUUACAAGUUCAGCAAAUUUUACAUAAUGUCCUACAAGUCCAAUUUAGCUAACUAUCAUAGCUAACUCUAUUGGAGAUGCUCUUAGUAAGGAUAUACAUUUGGUUGUUAUUCAUAUGUUGAACCUGUAUUCUUGUCCUCACCAACUUAAUAAUCAAUAACUAUAAUGUUGUGUUUGUCAAGAUGAAUGGAGUGGAAUGGAUUGAGUGAAACUAAAAGUAAAUAAUGAGUUGUGUUUGUCAAGAUGAAUGGAGUGGAAUGGAUUGAGUGAAACUAAAAGUAAAUAAUGAGUUGUGUUUGUCAAGAUGAAUGGAGUGGAAUGGAUUGAGUGAAACUAAAAGUAAAUAAUGAAGGGCCGAAGGGGACUUGAAAGAAAAUGAGGUCUCAGAAAGAAAAUGAGUCGAGACAAAUUUUGUAUGAUGAGAUUUAGAUAAAAAAAAAAUAUGCAUGAUAAAUAUUAACAGGAGAAAGCGGUUAACAAUAAAUGUGGGAAUUUUCUUGAAUGUAGAAGAAUGUUACAGAGAAUAUGGAAUGAAAAGUGAUGGAUAUUUUAGCUGAUCCUGUAUUUGAUCAAUGAGAGAAAGAAAGAGAGUGUUCUCUAGCAUUACGAGCAAAAAUCAAGUUAGUGAUACAAGAGGCCUAUAUACCCAAUUUAUAAGAGUUUAAGCUACCAAAUAAUUCCGAGAAAAAAAUAAUCUAGAUGGGCUAACUUUUGUUCCAGUUUAUUAGGCCCCAUGUCUGUUGGAUCAUGCAAGCCACUGUCAAGAAAUCUAUAACUCGCGUGCCCCAAAACCAAAUGAUUAGCUGACAUGGAGCGAGUUAAAGAAUGAAUAUCGGUCUAGUAAGUGGAGAUAGACACCUCUAGAAAGCGGAGAUAGAAAUCUAAAGAGAGCGGAGGUAGAUAUCUCAAAAUAUAUAAUCAUGUCGCUUGAGCUGGGACUGACCAUGAGUUUUCGUGUCUUGAUCAUUAUCUAAUACUGUGAGAAUACCCAAGAUAUAGGGAGUAGUCUUAGAGAGAGCCCACAAGGGAUUUAAUGUAAAAAGUUGGUGAUACUCAAUUGAUAUCAUCUUCUUCGAGCAGAAAGAUGAGGCUUAAAAGCCUUGCUGAAGAAUGAGCUCAAGGAGGUGACCCUAAGCUUACGACCCCGAGUGUAAUAACCCAGCUGUAGCGAUCCCAGAAGUCAUCACCAUACUUAUAGCGACACCACCCUUAGAAGAGGCCCGGAGCAUUGAUAAUCUUCUAAGAUAGUGAGACAUACUUGUGGGUAACCCAACAGAAUGAUGAAGUAAUUUGUUUAUCUUAUUCUUUAAAAAGAGAUUAUUUUUGGAUAGUAAAUAAAUAUAUAAUUUAUCGCAUAAAUAAUUAUUUAUUUUUAUAAACAAUAAACAUGAAACACAUUUUUAACCUAUACUUUUUAAAAAAUAUAAUUUUUUACCAGUCCAUAUCUAUAUCUCACCUAUGUAUACAAGCGACAAAAUCUGAGCAUCUAAAGGGAAAUGGGUGAUACUUACUGAAGUAUCUCUUGUAUUUUAAACAGGACUAAUCGACGACAGAGAGCAUCAAGAAAUAGAAUAUUCUCGGCAUGAUCUGUUAAUAAAGCCCUUUAGCCCAUUCCAAAUGGGUAUUAUACACACGCAUCAUCAAAUGUACAUAUAACCUGCGUGUCAAGGUAAGAAGAAGAAGAGUCAAACACUAUGGUUUCAUCUAGUAAGCAUUUCCAACUCAACCCCUCUUUCUUAUUUUCCUAAUCUUCUUGUGUAUUAUUCAUAUCUUCACUUGUUGAUCAGAGCACAAAUACUUACCAUCUGUUUGUUUCUUCUUUAGUUUUUUUUUAAUUAUUAUUAUCUCUAAUUGUACUGGUAUACUGGUGAUUUUAAAAGGAUUUCUUUUGGAACUAAGCUCAGGCAAAACUGACUCCCCUGUGUUUGUUUACCCUCCUACAUUUGAAGUUGGUGAUUCGUUUAUUAUUUGAUAAUAUUUAUAUUGUUUGUAGUGUGAGGUCAAAGUUUUAAGCCCUGUUUCGAAGUUACAUGAAAAAUUAGGGGGCCAAAUUAAAGGGUAGACAGGAUUGGAACAUUGUUUAGUAGUUAGUGCAUUGAAAUAGCGGGUUGAAUUCGAUAAGCUAAUUUUGAAAUUCUGAUUGUAUGAGAUUUUUAUGUAAGUAGUCGUUAAAUAUAGUUGUAGGAGGUCCAUGAUGGUAGUAAGUGAUGAGUGAAUGUGUAUGAUGGUGUUAAGUAGUUGUUAAUUGUGGUAAGUUAUGGUGGCAAACAAUAGUGGAUAUUAAUGAUGGUAGGCGAUGGUGGCAAGCAGUGUUAUUUAAGUAAAAAAGCGCGCGGAGCACAAAGGGUCUUUUAUAGCUUAAGCGCUAAGCGUGGGCUUUUUUAUAAGAAAGCACACUAUAAUUAUUUAUUAAGGCAUCAGUUCCUGGCACUGAUGGUUUAGGAUUCUUUUGAACUAAUUUAUGAAGGCAUCGGUUCCUGCAUCCAUUGUCUGUUUUGCUGCUUAUGUAGUCGAGUGACAUGCCAGGUAAUUGGGGUUGUUUGAUUUGAUUAACUGUUUGCAUAGCUAGCAUUUUUCAUGCAUUUUAUUGCUUAUAUUCAGGGACUUGAUUUUUUAGCAAAUGUUUUGAUGCAGGUGUUGCCCCUUUUAUUUUUCUGCUACUCGUUCUUGGGUGUUCUGCACGACCUCUUUAUCCACUCCCUAGCAGAAGGAAUGAUAAAACUAAACAGCCCCUUCAAACUUUCCGUCCAUAUAAUGUAGCACAUCGUGGUUCUAAUGGGGAAAUUCCUGAAGAAACUGCUGCUGCAUAUAUGGUACGUCCUUAUGCAUUCACAUUUGCAAAUUCAUCAACAAUUCCUUUAAGCUUUAUAUUAAGAGUUUUUCAUAGCAUUUAGUUCAUUUUGAGAUAUAUUAAAUCACAAGUAUCAGAAGCUUCCAGUUUUGGUGUUUGGAUCAAAUAGUUUACUUAAUUUGCUUGGGCUUCCUAAUUCAUAAUUUUAAUGUCUUGAUACUUUAAAUAGAGGCAGAAAAUAAAAUUUUCUAGACCAUGCUCCGUUUCCAGUUUUAACAAGCUUUUUAACACUUCCAGAGGGCUAUUGAAGAGGGUACAGACUUCAUAGAAACAGAUAUUCUUGCAUCCAAAGAUGGUGCGCUUAUAUGCUUCCAUGAUGUAAUUCUUGAUGAUACGACCGAUAUAGCCGAACACAAAAAGUUUGCAUCACGAAAGAGGACGUAUGAUGUACAAGGGCUCAAUACCACCGGCUAUUUUACUGUUGAUUUUACUCUUGAUGAACUGAAAUCAUUAAGGGUGAAGCAGAGGUUCUCGUUCCGGGACCAACAAUAUAAUGGUCAGUUUCUCGGAUGUAUUAAUCAUUUUAUGUUCUCUCUUUUCUGCGAGCGCAAGUUUUGCAAUGUGUCUACUUGCAAGAUGCAUUCUGCCAUCAUUCACUAUUUUAAUUUGCACUCUUGCACACCAUUACUCCAUGUACCAAGCAUACAAAUCAGUAAGAUGUUGGAAUGAAAAGGGGCUUCUAACUUCUGGUGAUGCCGAUCCUUUGUGUCUUAAUUGGUGAAAACGGGCUGUGGUUUACAUGCAGAAGUGAAAGUAGGUUUUCAAGUAAGACAUGCUAGAUUAGGUUACUUUUUUUUUUUGGCCUGAUUUUUGGUUACUUUUAGACACACACACAUAUAGUCUCGUGGAGAACCAUUUGGUUCCACUUUAAAAUCUCAUUAAUAAUUUUAAAAUUAAUCGUACUUAUUACUUAUGCAUAAAUUUAGAUUAUAAUGUAGAAUACUAAUCAUAUAUAACAUGCACAAACAAUUACACAUACAAUCUAAGUAAAAAAAUGAUUUUAAAAUUUGGUUCUAGUUUCUACUGCAGAACCACUUUGGAUAAAACUGGUUCAAUGGUAGAACCAGUUUGUAUGUUAUGAUUAAUUUUCAACGUAUUUUGAAGGAAAAAUGAUAAACGUUAUUUUUUGAUUUACUAAUUAUAUAGUGGAUGAAUAAUGAGUGUGAUACAUGAAUUUUAUGUGUAUAUAUAGGUGUUCUCUACUAGACUCUAUGUAAGGUGGUUCUCUAUAGAGUGUGACUCACACACACACACACACACACACACAUAUCCGGAAAUAUUGUGGAAAUAGAAGUAGAUACAUUUGAAAAGAGUCGGUUUUAUUCAUAUCAUGAUUUAGGACUUUACUGUUAGCAUAUUACAAAGUAAGAAGCAAAACACAGAAUAUAUGUAAUACUCACAGGACAGUAUGUCUCAUUGAGGCCUUAAAAUUCGAAAAAAUGAAUACCUUUAGUUAGAUGAGAUUAUUUUCUUCCCUAAAGGGCUUGGUUGCAAAUGUAGUUCAGAAAUUGAGGUAUAAUAACUCGAAGAGAUAAACCAAUAGUCAAUAUGGCAUGCCCCUCUGGUCUCUGGAACAUUUUUAUAAAUUAACUAAAAGCUACAGCAGCAAGUGAUGCGUAUAAAACAUAAUCCAAAGAUUCUAAACUCAUCAAAAUAUAAGUUCUUAAUUAUAAAAUAUGUACAUAGCUCUAUUUAUAAAUAUAUUAUAUCCUCACCACGCAUCUUACAACGUCCGUUUUAGAGUACUUUAAAUAAGUUAGGAAACAGAAAAAAAGGUUGAUUUAUAAUAGCAAAGCAGAUCAUAGUCAAUGUUGCAAAAAUGAUAAACUCUUGUACCUUCUAAUCCUAGUCUCUCCAUUUAUUGAGGAUCAUGUGUUUCAGUUAAUGAUAAGUUAUGCCCUUUCAAGUGCUUGAAAAAAAUAAUAUCACUUUCAGUAAACAUUUUGAUUUUCCUUUAUGCUCUGCAGGAAAAUUUUCUAUCAUUACUUUCGAAGAGUUUAUCUCAAUUGCACUGGAUGCACCUAGAAUAGUGGGAAUAUAUCCAGAAAUUAAAAAUCCGGUCCUGAUCAACCAGCAUGUGGGUAACAUAAGUCUUUGUGUGCACAUUAGGAGUAUAGAGUAGCUGUAUUGCAGGUAAUAUAUCUUUUUCUGUACUGAAUUUAUGUUGCAUAUAACAGGUAAAAUGGCCAGGUGGUAAGAAAUUUGAAGACAAAUUUGUUGAGACACUUGUGAAGUAUGGAUACAAAGGUUCAUAUCUGUCAAAGCACUGGUUAAAACAACCUGCAUUUAUCCAGUCCUUUGCCCCCACAUCACUUAUUUAUAUAUCAAACCAGACCGAUUUGCCUAAAAUUUUCUUAAUUGAUGAUGUGAAUGUUCCGUGUCAAGACACUAAUCAGGUUUGUGAUUUUUCUUUGCGCAUAAGAAAAUAUAGAGAAAUUGAAAAUUUAUUGGUAGUUUUAGCCUCAAGUAUUAGGAUUCUGUUGUUCUUGAUGGCAUUUUCCACUAAAAAAACAAGUAUCUGCUGUGAACUUUAUUUAAAUUAUCUGCAAGUGUCAACAAGUACAAUUGAGUUUCAUAAUGUCAAAAUCAAUAUGACAAUAUUGUCUCAGAACCCUUCACAGAUUUUAAAAACAUUAUGUUCUGUCUUCUAUAUAUUUUGAGCAUAUACUUACCAAAAGUAAAUUUAUAGGUAGUUUGGCUUAUUUAGAUUUAGUAGUCAAGGUUUUGAAAUUGCUGGCAUCCAGAAAAUAAUAGAUUUCAUCUAAGAGUUUUACUGUUUUUGACUCAAAUGCUGCUUAUUUGCAUGUCUAGUGGUCACUGGUCUGUUUUUAUAAUUGGAUAAUAUUUCUAGUUUCUACCACAACAAUUUAUGACUUUAAAGUAAAAUGUUUUUCGUUUACAGACAUUUGCAGAAAUCACUUCAGAUGGUUACCUUGACUUUAUAAAAGAAUACGUAGUGGGGAUCGGACCUUGGAAGGAUACGCUGGUUCCUGUAUCAAAUAAUUAUCUGCAAACACCUAACGACCUUGUUGCCAGAGCACAUGCUCAUGACUUGCAGGUGUGUUGCUCAAACUAAUUCAUUCUGACUACUUUUAGUAGGCUGACCAGAAGAGCAAUAUCUCUUUGAUUUAAUAAUAUUGCAACUGUCAACCUGAUCAUCAUUUAUGCUGUCUUUUGAUUAUGCCUUCAUCACAAGAUAUAAAUUGGGAGUCAAAGAAUUUAUACAUACUUGUAAUAAUAAACUUAAGUUUUAAAUUCUACUUGUAAUAAUAUUGCAGCUGUCAACCUGAUCGUCAUCUAUGCUCUAUUAUUGUUUGCAAUGUUAAAACCUACGUAGGUUCUAAAUUCUUUUUGUGUCUUUUCAAUUGUUACAGGUGCACCCAUACACCUUUCGGAAUGAAAAUCUGUUCUUACAUUACAACUACAGUCAAGACCCAUAUCUCGAAUAUGAUUUCUGGAUAAACGAAGUAGGAGUUGAUGGACUCUUUACCGACUUCACUGGUAGCCUCCACAGAUACCAGGAAUGGACCUCUCCUUCCAUCUCUGAUGAUGAUGCAUCUACCUUAUUGCAUAAGAUUGCAUCAAUGGUCUCAAAGUAUCGUAAGACAUAAGAUAUUCUAUAAACAAUUACACUCAGUUUCUAGCGCAACCACAAACUAUGCGCCAUUUUUUUUGGGUAGUUAUUAAAAGCCAGA